UGUUGGUUUGCAAUUAUCUACUUUUUGACGAGAAGUGUCAUACAAGUUUGGUAUGUCAAAAUGUCUUACUGUUUUUUUUGGCUUUAUUAUUAGGUAUCUAUACUAUCAAACGAGAAGACAUCAUUGUGUGUGUCGCUUCUCUUUCUUCCGCCAAAAAAUAAAUCAUCAUGCCUGUGUGUUCUAUAGGUAACACGCAUAGUCGCAUUCGUCAUCCAUUUUUAGAUUUAUUCAGAUUGAGUUAUUUUGGGAGAAAAACGACAGAAUAGGUGUCCGGAUAUUGUUUCCUUCAUCAGACUGAUUUAUAGUCAUAUAUAAGACAUCCGGUUUUAAACAUGCACAAG
RNAcentral lists this long non-coding RNA (341 nucleotides) under Mytilus galloprovincialis (Mediterranean mussel). The record is from RNAcentral. Lineage: Eukaryota; Metazoa; Mollusca; Bivalvia; Mytilida; Mytilidae.